GGGGAAUAUUGCACAAUGGACGAAAGUCUGAUGCAGCAACGCCGCGUGGAGGAUGACACAUUUCGGUGCGUAAACUCCUUUUAUAUGAGAAGAUAAUGACGGUAUCAUAUGAAUAAGCACCGGCUAACUCCGUGCCAGCAGCCGCGGUAAUACGGGGGGUGCAAGCGUUACUCGGAAUCACUGGGCGUAAAGAGCAUGUAGGCGGGUGAAUAAGUUGGAAGUGAAAUCCUAUAGCUUAACUAUAGAACUGCUUCCAAAACUGUUCACCUAGAGUAUGGGAGAGGUAGAUGGAAUUUCUGGUGUAGGGGUAAAAUCCGUAGAGAUCAGAAGGAAUACCGAUUGCGAAGGCGAUCUACUGGAACAUUACUGACGCUCAGAUGCGAAAGCGUGGGGAGCAAAC
Molecule: ribosomal RNA, 400 nt
Filed under: uncultured bacterium
Lineage: Bacteria
Description: bacterial SSU rRNA
Rfam family: Bacterial small subunit ribosomal RNA
Source: RNAcentral